GGAAAACGUCGGAAUCUGCCUAUUUGUGGGGGAUAACGUAGGGAAACUUACGCUAAUACCGCAUACGACCUACGGGUGAAAGCGGAGGACCUUCGGGCUUCGCGCAGAUAGAUGAGCCGACGUCGGAUUAGCUAGUUGGCGGGGUAAAGGCCCACCAAGGCGACGAUCCGUAGCUGGUCUGAGAGGAUGAUCAGCCACACUGGAACUGAGACACGGUCCAGACUCCUACGGGAGGCAGCAGUGGGGAAUAUUGGACAAUGGGCGCAAGCCUGAUCCAGCCAUGCCGCGUGUGUGAAGAAGGCCUUCGGGUUGUAAAGCACUUUUGUCCGGAAAGAAAAGCUUCGGGUUAAUACCCCGAGGUCAUGACGGUACCGGAAGAAUAAGCACCGGCUAACUUCGUGCCAGCAGCCGCGGUAAUACGAAGGGUGCAAGCGUUACUCGGAAUUACUGGGCGUAAAGCGUGCGUAGGUGGUUUGUUAAGUCUGAUGUGAAAGCCCUGGGCUCAACCUGGGAAUGGCAUUGGAAACUGGCUUACUAGAGUGCGGUAGAGGGUAGUGGAAUUCCGCGGUGUAGCAGUGAAAUGCGUAGAUA
RNAcentral lists this ribosomal RNA (591 nucleotides) under Lysobacter sp. GLT-Slr-50. RNAcentral's name for it is "bacterial SSU rRNA". It matches the Rfam family "Bacterial small subunit ribosomal RNA", at positions 110 to 696 of the family's 1533-position model. The record is from RNAcentral. Lineage: Bacteria; Pseudomonadati; Pseudomonadota; Gammaproteobacteria; Lysobacterales; Lysobacteraceae.